UACAGAGGGGGCAAGCGUUGUUCGGAAUUACUGGGCGUAAAGGGCGCGCAGGCGGCUACGCACGUCCGUUGUGAAAUCGCCCGGCUCAACUGGGCGGGGUCAGCGGAUACGGCGUAGCUGGAGCAAGCUAGGGGGCAAUGGAAUUCCCGGUGUAGUGGUGGAAUGCGUAGAUAUCGGGAGGAACACCAGUGGCGAAGGCGGUUGCCUGGAGCUUUGCUGACGCUGAGGCGCGAAAGCGUGGGGAGCGAUCCGG
This 253-nucleotide ribosomal RNA is filed under the name uncultured bacterium. RNAcentral's name for it is "partial 16S ribosomal RNA". It matches the Rfam family "Bacterial small subunit ribosomal RNA", at positions 524 to 776 of the family's 1533-position model. The record is from RNAcentral.